This 305-nucleotide ribosomal RNA is filed under the name uncultured bacterium. RNAcentral's name for it is "bacterial SSU rRNA". It matches the Rfam family "Bacterial small subunit ribosomal RNA", at positions 334 to 655 of the family's 1533-position model. The record is from RNAcentral.
UUUCCCUACGGGGCGCAGCAGUCGGGAAUAUUGCACAAUGGAGGAAACUCUGAUGCAGUGACGCCGCGUGCAGGAAGAAGGUUUUCGGAUUGUAAACUGCUUUAGAUAGGGAAGAUAAAAGACUGUACCUAUAGAAUAAGCUCCGGCUAACUACGUGCCAGCAGCCGCGGUAAUACGUAGGUGGCAAGCGUUGUCCGGAUUUAUUGGGCGUAAAGCGAGUGCAGGCGGCUCAAUAAGUCUGAUGUGAAAGCCUUCGGCUCAACCGGAGAAUUGCAUCAGAAACUGUUGAACUUGAGUGCAGAAGA